This 484-nucleotide ribosomal RNA is filed under the name uncultured bacterium. RNAcentral's name for it is "partial 16S ribosomal RNA". It matches the Rfam family "Bacterial small subunit ribosomal RNA", at positions 30 to 507 of the family's 1533-position model. The record is from RNAcentral.
AUUGAACGCUGGCGGCAGGCCUAACACAUGCAAGUCGAGCGGAUGAAGGGAGCUUGCUCCUGGAUUCAGCGGCGGACGGGUGAGUAAUGCCUAGGAAUCUGCCUGGUAGUGGGGGAUAACGUCCGGAAACGGGCGCUAAUACCGCAUACGUCCUGAGGGAGAAAGUGGGGGAUCUUCGGACCUCACGCUAUCAGAUGAGCCUAGGUCGGAUUAGCUAGUUGGUGGGGUAAAGGCCUACCAAGGCGACGAUCCGUAACUGGUCUGAGAGGAUGAUCAGUCACACUGGAACUGAGACACGGUCCUGACUCCUACGGGAGGCAGCAGUGGGGAAUAUUGGACAAUGGGCGAAAGCCUGAUCCAGCCAUGCCGCGUGUGUGAAGAAGGUCUUCGGAUUGUAAAGCACUUUUAGUUGGGAAGAAGAGCAGUAAGUUAAUACCUUGCUGUUUUGACGUUACCAACAGAAUAAGCACCGGCUAACUUCGUG